This 389-nucleotide ribosomal RNA is filed under the name uncultured bacterium. Its description in RNAcentral is "bacterial SSU rRNA". It matches the Rfam family "Bacterial small subunit ribosomal RNA", at positions 28 to 414 of the family's 1533-position model. The record is from RNAcentral.
GACGAACGCUGGCGGCGUGCUUAACACAUGCAAGUCGAGCGGUAAGGCCCUUUCGGGGGUACACGAGCGGCGAACGGGUGAGUAACACGUGGGUGACCUGCCCUCAGCUCUGGGAUAAGCCUGGGAAACCGGGUCUAAUACUGGAUAUGACUCCAUGACGCAUGUUGUGGGGUGGAAAGCCUUGUGCGGCUGAGGAUGGGCCCGCGGCCUAUCAGCUUGUUGGUGGGGUGANGGCCUACCAAGGCGACGACGGGUAGCCGGCCUGAGAGGGCGACCGGCCACACUGGGACUGAGACACGGCCCAGACUCCGUACGGGAGGCAGCAGGUGGGGAAUCUUGCGCAAGUGGGACGAAAGCCUGACGCAGCGACGCCGCGUGAGGGAUGACGG